This is a small nuclear RNA of Heterocephalus glaber (naked mole-rat), 107 nucleotides long. The record is from Ensembl. NCBI's taxonomy places the organism in Eukaryota, Metazoa, Chordata, Mammalia, Rodentia, Bathyergidae.
GUGCUCACUUCAACAGCACAUACACUAAAAUUCAAAAAAUACAGAGAAGAUUAGCAUGGCCCCUGUGCAAGGAUGACAAGCCAAUUCAUGAAGUGUUCCAUAGUUUU